This 2161-nucleotide long non-coding RNA is filed under the name Solanum lycopersicum (tomato). RNAcentral describes it as "partial TCONS_00199360". Lineage: Eukaryota; Viridiplantae; Streptophyta; Magnoliopsida; Solanales; Solanaceae. The record is from RNAcentral.
CUUCCGCUGCAUUACUAAAUUGAUAACCGCAAAGUAAAGAAAGAGUUGAGGAUUUCAUUUCCCAAAGGUGAAGAGCAAUAGAAAGUAUAAGAAUAGUUUCCCUGACUUGGUGGGUUAGAACACUAUCCAAAAUUAGAAACCUUGAGGUCAAUCGAAGCAUCCAAUAUUAAAUUUUCAGGCUGCACGAGAAAAAGAGAGUUUAAUUUCUAUGGACUAACAUUGUGUAACUCUUUUACAUCAUCAUUGUCACGUAUAUAAGUUAAAAUCCGCCAAAAAGAGGUAGGAUAUUAGUUAGUUUGUAGGUGUAGCUUCCUAGAAUGAUUUACUAAAUUCAGUGAGUUGUUUCAAGGGAUCAAAACAGUGAGUUAUUAUUGGAAUUCCUUCACCACUCUUAGGUUCCGUUACUUCAGUUUGUUUUGUAACUCUUUUUCUGUUAUGGUUACUCAAAGAAAAUUUAGGACUAAUAUGUUAACCUUCCCUUUUGUUUCCAUUGUUCCGGAAGCCUCAAGUUUGUUGAACUGAAUUUUCAUAGAUUGCCAGAUUCUAGACUACAAUAUGUGUUCUUGAAUUGUAAUUGAUUAUAAAUUCUUUAAAAUUACCUCACGGUUUUUGUCGAUUGUUUGUACAGAGGGAGUUUCCCACAGGAGAACCCUUCUGGAUUAGCCUCAAUGCCUUUGUAUAAGUCCUUCAAAUGACUCUGUUAUUGGUAUUAGUAUUGAUAUUUAUUGAUUUCGAGUCAAUCAUACGUGCGCCGUUCGUUUUUAGUUUAUCUUUCAUCCCCUCUUUGACCCUUCAUUUUAGAUUAUUCAUCCGUUUACUUUGAUUUGCAGAAACGAACAUCCCUUGCAUUCACAACAACCUUCAUCUGCGAGCAAAGUAAUGUUCAUCAUCUGCUGAAGCUUCAAUUCUGGACAAGAAGAUUAAGCUUCCACCUUUGGUCGUAGCACUAUGUUUUGAAAAGCUAGGUUGAAGAAAGAUGCCCAACACUUCAAAAAGGUACAUGACACAUCGAGUGCCACACUAUUGCUGUUACAGUGUUGCUACUAUACCCUACUUCCAUUGCUAAGACGUUUUCUCCUAUUCCAACAGGAAAUUUAACAUGUAUUUUGUCAUCACACAUACAAAGUUGUAACAGUAACUAAGAAUACCAAGAUGACAGCCACUAAUAGUGCUGGCAAUUUAAGUUCAUUUUUUACUGACCCGUCCAAAUAGCCCAUCAAAUAUGUGUUCAAAAAGUGAAUGAAAAAUUACCUAUGUAGACAUCUUUUUCCAUAAUUUCCAUUAAUUCUUGCCAUUUUAAAAAAAUUUCAAAAUCCCUUAUUUCCUCCUAAAACUAAUCAGGCGGAUACAUAACUCAUAACUCCAAAAAUCAAAAUUUAUCACUUCCUCAUUUCAUUCCAUAAAUCACUCUCCAUUUUCUUGUCAGUUAAUUUCUCAAUUACUUUUGAAAUUCAAAAUCAAGUCUUUAUCUAGUCAAAACUAAUUCAACAUGAAAUAGGUAACUUGUUUAUCUGUUCAAAUUUGUUUGUCCUUCAUUUUUUAUUUUUUUUCUUUCUUCUUCGAAACAUUGAAAAUGCACCAUCUUUUAGUCUUGCUUUUACAUAAUUAAACUCAAAUAACACUCGUGUUUUUUUAAUUCGAAGAUAUUGUUUGGGUUGUAAACAAAUCAAAAAACUGCACGACUCAUCAAUAGCGAAAGUAAACAUUGAGAAGUUGGAGAUAGAGCAUAUAAUAUCAAAUUUGCCAUGAGACGAAAAACACUUUUAUUAUGUGUGAACAACAAAGGGGGGCGAUAGGAGAUGGACAUAUCAAAAGGUUCAUUCAUAGUCGAAGAUUGAUAACUUUUCUAUUCAAGAAAUUCUCAAAAAUGGUGAGGUGUGAGUUUGUCGAAACUACAGAAAGUUCAUCAAUACUAAAUAAAACUUGUAUAUCAUAUGGUGUUUUUUUAGAAAAAAAAACUAUCAAUUUUUAUACUUGUUUUGUUGGUAAAUCAUGAAUGACCCACAAACGACAAAUUCAUGUUUCAUAUUGUGAUGUAUCAGUAUUUAAGUGCAAUCUAUUAGUAUGUUGAUUUUGUUCUAUUGAUUGUUGAAUGUGUUUCAGUUAGCUAAUCAAAUAAUGAUCCAUUAAUGAAAAUAUAAUGUGUCAUAUUAUAAUGUAU